AGUGAACGCUGGCGGUAGGCCUAACACAUGCAAGUCGAACGGCAGCACAGUAAGAGCUUGCUCUUACGGGUGGCGAGUGGCGGACGGGUGAGGAAUACAUCGGAAUCUACUUUUUCGUGGGGGAUAACGUAGGGAAACUUACGCUAAUACCGCAUACGACCUACGGGUGAAAGCAGGGGAUCUUCGGACCUUGCGCGAUUGAAUGAGCCGAUGUCGGACUAGCUAGUUGGCGGGGUAAAGGCCCACCAAGGCGACGAUCCGUAGCUGGUCUGAGAGGAUGAUCAGCCACACUGGAACUGAGACACGGUCCAGACUCCUACGGGAGGCAGCAGAGGGGAAUAUUGGACAAUGGGCGCAAGCCUGAUCCAGCCAUACCGCGUGGGUGAAGAAGGCCUUCGGGUUGUAAAGCCCUUUUGUUGGGAAAGAAAAGCAGCAGGUUAAUACCCCGCUGUUCUGACGGUACCCAAAGAAUAAGCACCGGCUAACUUCGUG
Molecule: ribosomal RNA, 492 nt
Filed under: uncultured bacterium
Lineage: Bacteria
Description: partial 16S ribosomal RNA
Rfam family: Bacterial small subunit ribosomal RNA
Source: RNAcentral